Molecule: transfer RNA, 83 nt
Filed under: Nanobdella aerobiophila
Lineage: Archaea; Nanobdellati; Nanobdellota; Nanobdellia; Nanobdellales; Nanobdellaceae
Description: tRNA-Leu
Rfam family: tRNA
About the family: Transfer RNA (tRNA) molecules are approximately 80 nucleotides in length. Their secondary structure includes four short double-helical elements and three loops (D, anti-codon, and T loops).
Source: RNAcentral
GGACCCGUGUCCGAGUGGUCGAUGGAGUCUGGUUCAGGUCCAGAUGACGAGAGUCUUCCAGGGUUCGAAUCCCUGCGGGUCCA